This 692-nucleotide ribosomal RNA is filed under the name uncultured Staphylococcus sp. Its description in RNAcentral is "bacterial SSU rRNA". It matches the Rfam family "Bacterial small subunit ribosomal RNA", at positions 61 to 735 of the family's 1533-position model. Lineage: Bacteria; Bacillati; Bacillota; Bacilli; Caryophanales; Staphylococcaceae. The record is from RNAcentral.
GUCGAGCGAACAGAUGAGGAGCUUGCUCCUCUGACGUUAGCGGCGGACGGGUGAGUAACACGUGGAUAACCUACCUAUAAGACUGGGAUAACUACGGGAAACCGGAGCUAAUACCGGAUAAUAUAUUGAACCGCAUGGUUCAAUAGUGAAAGACGGUUUUGCUGUCACUUAUAGAUGGAUCCGCGCCGCAUUAGCUAGUUGGUAAGGUAACGGCUUACCAAGGCAACGAUGCGUAGCCGACCUGAGAGGGUGAUCGGCCACACUGGAACUGAGACACGGUCCAGACUCCUACGGGAGGCAGCAGUAGGGAAUCUUCCGCAAUGGGCGAAAGCCUGACGGAGCAACGCCGCGUGAGUGAUGAAGGUCUUCGGAUCGUAAAACUCUGUUAUUAGGGAAGAACAAAUGUGUAAGUAACUAUGCACGUCUUGACGGUACCUAAUCAGAAAGCCACGGCUAACUACGUGCCAGCAGCCGCGGUAAUACGUAGGUGGCAAGCGUUAUCCGGAAUUAUUGGGCGUAAAGCGCGCGUAGGCGGUUUUUUAAGUCUGAUGUGAAAGCCCACGGCUCAACCGUGGAGGGUCAUUGGAAACUGGAAAACUUGAGUGCAGAAGAGGAAAGUGGAAUUCCAUGUGUAGCGGUGAAAUGCGCAGAGAUAUGGAGGAACACCAGUGGCGAAGGCGACCUUCUGGUCU